RNAcentral lists this ribosomal RNA (434 nucleotides) under uncultured Fibrobacter sp. RNAcentral's name for it is "partial 16S ribosomal RNA". It matches the Rfam family "Bacterial small subunit ribosomal RNA", at positions 341 to 792 of the family's 1533-position model. Lineage: Bacteria; Pseudomonadati; Fibrobacterota; Fibrobacteria; Fibrobacterales; Fibrobacteraceae. The record is from RNAcentral.
ACGGGAGGCAGCAGUGGGGAAUAUUGCACAAUGGGGGAAACCCUGAUGCAGCAACGCCGCGUGAGUGAUGACGGUCUUCGGAUUGUAAAGCUCUGUCUUUAGGGACGAUAAUGACGGUACCUAAGGAGGAAGCCACGGCUAACUUCGUGCCAGCAGCCGCGGUAAUACGAGGGGUGCAAGCGUUGUUCGGAAUCACUGGGCGUAAAGGGAGCGCAGGCGGAGAUGCAAGCGGACUGUACAAUACCGGGGCCCAACCCCGGACCUGCAGUCCGGACUGCACCUCUUGGAUAGUUCAGGGGCAAGCGGAAUUCCUGGUGUAGCGGUGGAAUGCGUAGAGAUCAGGAAGAACACCGAUGGCGAAGGCAGCUUGCUGGGGACUAAUCGACGCUCAUGCUCGAAAGUGCGGGUAGCAAACAGGAUUAGAUACCCUGGUA